This 225-nucleotide small RNA is filed under the name Bos taurus (domestic cattle). Lineage: Eukaryota; Metazoa; Chordata; Mammalia; Artiodactyla; Bovidae. The record is from RNAcentral.
AUCUCAAUUUUUCACCAUUCAGUGUUUCAGUGCUGUGACGACUUCCACUGCUUCUUCGUGUACUACAGGUCAUCGCACCAAGUAUCUUGUAACUACGAGCUUGCACUCUAGAGAACAUAUCUCUCCACUACUGAGACUGAAUUGUAGAGCAUGCAUCUCACAACUACUAAGACCCCAUUCUAAGUGCACAUGACACUUCUGCAGUGCGGUCUCACGAAUUCCGCU